Molecule: ribosomal RNA, 261 nt
Filed under: uncultured archaeon
Lineage: Archaea
Description: partial 16S ribosomal RNA
Rfam family: Archaeal small subunit ribosomal RNA
Source: RNAcentral
UAGCCGUAAACGAUACUCGCUAGGUGUCGGCCACGGUGCGACCGUUGUCGGUGCCGUAGGGAAGCCGUGAAGCGAGCCACCUGGGAGGUACGGCCGCAAGGCUGAAACUUAAAGGAAUUGGCGGGGGAGCACCACAACGGGUGGAGCUUGCGGUUUAAUUGGAUUCAACGCCGGAAAUCUUACCGGGACCGACAGCAACAUGAAGGCCAAGCUGAAGACUUUGCCGGAUUAGCUGAGAGGAGGUGCAUGGCGUAGUCGUGU